UUGGUUGUCCCCACUCCUUGAGAGCUUUCUCCGCCGCAGCACUGCCGAUCUCAGGAACCGCUUCCAUCGCCAGAGCCUGUCUCUUGUCCAGAGACGACCCAUCGAACUUACAAAGCUCGGGGUUCUUUUCCAGAAUCUCGUCGGUAAGAUACAUAUACCGCUUUUCGAUCAUCGACUUGUCACCUGCCGUCGCAAAUUAAAUUCAAACAAUGGAAUGAUUAGUUACACUUAAUUAAACCCUGGUUAAUUAAAUUGUGUAUAAAUGCAUGCAUGUAAGAAGAACUAAUUAAGGAGCCAUGCUUACAGAUGCGUUGGAACUUUGCUUUGUAAUCAACCAUGUGCUCGCUGUUGGUGAUACGGAAAUACUUAUCGGGAAAGUUCUUCUGGUCGACGACAUUUGCCGGAGUUUCUGUUCCGAUGGCUAGAAUAGUCGCCGGACCUUUCGACCUUUGGGAC
Molecule: long non-coding RNA, 456 nt
Filed under: Zostera marina
Lineage: Eukaryota; Viridiplantae; Streptophyta; Magnoliopsida; Alismatales; Zosteraceae
Description: long non-coding RNA (ZMAR_LNC004619)
Source: RNAcentral